GCGGGAGUAGCUCAGUUGGCUAGAGCUCCUGCCUUCCAAGCAGGUUGUCGCGAGUUCGAGUCUCGUCUCCCGCUCCA
RNAcentral lists this transfer RNA (77 nucleotides) under Arcobacter sp. RNAcentral describes it as "tRNA-Gly". It matches the Rfam family "tRNA". Rfam says of the family: Transfer RNA (tRNA) molecules are approximately 80 nucleotides in length. Their secondary structure includes four short double-helical elements and three loops (D, anti-codon, and T loops). Lineage: Bacteria; Pseudomonadati; Campylobacterota; Epsilonproteobacteria; Campylobacterales; Arcobacteraceae. RNAcentral also lists the same sequence under 1 other name. The record is from RNAcentral.